RNAcentral lists this transfer RNA (85 nucleotides) under Deltaproteobacteria bacterium. RNAcentral describes it as "tRNA-Leu". It matches the Rfam family "tRNA". Rfam says of the family: Transfer RNA (tRNA) molecules are approximately 80 nucleotides in length. Their secondary structure includes four short double-helical elements and three loops (D, anti-codon, and T loops). Lineage: Bacteria; Pseudomonadati; Myxococcota; Myxococcia. The record is from RNAcentral.
GCCCGGAUGGCGGAACUGGUAGACGCACGGGACUUAAAAUCCCGCGAAGCAAUUCGUGUCGGUUCGAUCCCGACUCCGGGCACCA